AGAUGAUGCGGCGGUUUGGAGGCCAUCAGAUGAAAUCGAGUACAUGAGAGAUGCACUUGGUUCAGCUAUUGCAUGGCCAAUGGAUAAGUUGGUUAUCUUUUGAGUUUAAGCAUAGGUAUGUAAUUAAUGUGAUGCUUGUGCUUUGGUUUUAAAUCGAGAUCCUACUGAUAUAACAAAUCUGAUAUAAGAUUGUUUGUUGCAGGGGAAUGAAGAAACUUUGGUCCAGGUUUGCUAGUUUUAAUUAAGUUUAAGACUAAGCUAAUCAUCAACUUAUGACUUGUUAUGACUU
Molecule: long non-coding RNA, 289 nt
Filed under: Arabidopsis lyrata
Lineage: Eukaryota; Viridiplantae; Streptophyta; Magnoliopsida; Brassicales; Brassicaceae
Description: long non-coding RNA (ALYR_LNC000219)
Source: RNAcentral